GCGGGAGGGGAGGUUUUCUUCUCAGUCGGCUGCACGCUGCCGUCUGGUGCCUGCAGCCCUGCCUGCGGUGACGGUCCCUCUGCCCGAGCUCCGCAGCUUUGUCCGGGAACGGGUAGAGGGAAUUUUCUCCUAGCAGGAUGUUAGAUUUGAGGGGCUGUUGUAUCUGGAGCGGUGUUUGAAACAGCUUUGUUGCUGGUGAAACAGCGCUCCCACAGCCAAUUAAAGGAGCCUUCUGAGAGCGCUCUGAUGCGCAUCCAGUUGGGCAGGUGACUGGUCGUUUCCUCAUAAAACCACUCAAAGGAAUGUCUGAAACAUCCCAUGAAUGUCAAAACACCGAGUGCUUAACCUGCCGGCUUCCAUUCUGUGCUUUUUACAUUAUGCACACAAAAAAACUACCUGCAGAAGAUAGCUGCGAGUUGCACGGGUGUGCUUUUCGAGCUUGGAGUUGGAAGCCUUGUGGAAGAGUGUUGUGUCCUGUAGGAAUUAGCUGGGAACUGUUGCAGUUUCCAAAGUAUGUAGGUUUCUGCAAAGGUCAUGUCUCUUAUUUAUUUGCAUGGAAACUACUGCAGAUACCAAGAGCACAAUGGCACUACUUAAUAGAGCAAAUUCUCAGCUACAAAACACUGUUUUUCAACACUCACCACUAGCUAUGCAUUUUCAACAGCCAUGGACCUGAGCCUGCAUGCCACGCUUGUAAGAGUCUGCAGAGGUGACCCACUGUUGCUGUCACUGCUCCUGAAACGCACCACCCACAACCUCACUGUGCUCAUAUCCACUGCUUGGUCUCCAUCAACAUUCAGCAUCAUGAAUGUCAGUAGGUGCCAUUUUUUCUGCAUGGAGGAAUUCAGUGACACACCUUUGCUUUGUGUGCACUUCCACAUCAGAUGCCACUGUGUCAGGACUGUCCCUCUGCUGCAUAUCUGUCAUAUGGCAACAACAUGGAACGGAAUGUUGGCGGGAAGGUUUGACAUCUCCUGCCAUACCACGAACAUCUGCCUCUGAUACUGUGGGCCAACAUAAUAAAAUAGGAGGCACUACUUUUGGAGCAACCCUCAUUUCUACUGUAGUAGUUUUGCACACGUGCAACUUCUUAAAACUCAUCAACACAAAGUUCCUCCAGAGUAUGAACUCUUCACCGUUUAAGGAGAAGUGGAUUUUCAUUGCUUUCCUUCUGCACUGA
Molecule: long non-coding RNA, 1180 nt
Filed under: Chrysolophus pictus (golden pheasant)
Lineage: Eukaryota; Metazoa; Chordata; Aves; Galliformes; Phasianidae
Description: lncRNA (ENSCPIG00010003746.1)
Source: RNAcentral